This 459-nucleotide ribosomal RNA is filed under the name uncultured bacterium. Its description in RNAcentral is "partial 16S ribosomal RNA". It matches the Rfam family "Bacterial small subunit ribosomal RNA", at positions 338 to 795 of the family's 1533-position model. The record is from RNAcentral.
CCUACGGGAGGCAGCAGUGAGGAAUAUUGGUCAAUGGGCGGGAGCCUGAACCAGCCAAGUAGCGUGAAGGAUGACAGCCCUAGGGGUUUUAAACUUCUUUUAUAAGGGAGUAAAUUGCCCCACGUGUGGGAUUUUAUAUGUACCUUAUGAAUAAGCAUCGGCUAAUUCCGUGCCAGCAGACGCGGUAAUACGGAAGAUGCGAGCGUUAUCCGGUUUUAUUGGGUUUAAAGGGAGCGUAGGCGGUUCCAUAAGUCAGCGGUAAAAUCGUGCGGCUCAACCGUACCGUGCCGUUGAUACUGUGGGACUUGAGUUAGAGAAGGGUACAUGGAAUGCGAUGUGUAGCGGUGAAAUGCGUAGAUAUAACGAAGAACUCCGAACGCGAAGGCAGUGUACCGGAGCAAGACUGACGCUGAGGCUCGAAAGUGUGGGUAUCAAACAGGAUUAGAUACCCGAGUAGUC